RNAcentral lists this transfer RNA (75 nucleotides) under Candidatus Riesia sp. GBBU. It matches the Rfam family "tRNA". From Rfam's summary of the family: Transfer RNA (tRNA) molecules are approximately 80 nucleotides in length. The record is from Rfam by way of RNAcentral. Lineage: Bacteria; Pseudomonadati; Pseudomonadota; Gammaproteobacteria; Enterobacterales; Enterobacteriaceae.
GCUGAUAUAGCUCUGAGUGGGAAGAGCACACUCUUGGUAUGAGUGAGGUUGGCAGUUCGAAUCUGCCUAUCAGCA